This 465-nucleotide ribosomal RNA is filed under the name uncultured bacterium. RNAcentral describes it as "partial 16S ribosomal RNA". It matches the Rfam family "Bacterial small subunit ribosomal RNA", at positions 28 to 507 of the family's 1533-position model. The record is from RNAcentral.
GACGAACGCUGGCGGCGUGCUUAACACAUGCAAGUCGAACGGAAAGGCCCUGCUUGCAGGGUACUCGAGUGGCGAACGGGUGAGUAACACGUGGGUGAUCUGCCCUCCACUUCGGGAUAAGCCUGGGAAACUGGGUCUAAUACCGGAUAGGAGCCAUUUUGAGUGUGAUGGUUGAAAAGUUUUUUCGGUGUAGGAUGAGCUCGCGGCCUAUCAGCUUGUUGGUGGGGUAAUGGCCUACCAAGGCGGCGACGGGUAGCCGGCCUGAGUGGGUGGACGGCGACAUUGGGACUGAGAUACGGCCCAGACUCGUACGGGAGGCAGCAGUGGGGAAUAUUGCACAAUGGGCGCAAGCCUGAUGCAGAGACGCCGCGUGGGGGAUGACGGCCUUCGGGUUGUAAACUCCUUUCGCUAGGGACGAAGCUUUUUGUGACGGUACCUAGAUAAGAAGCACCGGCUAACUACGUG